RNAcentral lists this ribosomal RNA (253 nucleotides) under uncultured bacterium. Its description in RNAcentral is "partial 16S ribosomal RNA". It matches the Rfam family "Bacterial small subunit ribosomal RNA", at positions 524 to 776 of the family's 1533-position model. The record is from RNAcentral.
UACGGAGGGUGCUAGCGUUGUUCGGAAUCACUGGGCGUAAAGCGCGUGUAGGCGGUAUGGCAAGUCGGAUGUGAAAUCCCUCGGCUUAACCAAGGAAGUGCAUCCGAAACUGCUGUACUUGAGUACGAAAGAGGAUCGCGGAAUUCCCGGUGUAGAGGUGAAAUUCGUAGAUAUCGGGAGGAACACCAGUGGCGAAGGCGGCGAUCUGGGUCGAUACUGACGCUGAGGUGCGAAAGCGUGGGGAGCAAACAGG